RNAcentral lists this transfer RNA (76 nucleotides) under Micractinium conductrix. Its description in RNAcentral is "Micractinium sp. TP-2008b tRNA". It matches the Rfam family "tRNA". From Rfam's summary of the family: Transfer RNA (tRNA) molecules are approximately 80 nucleotides in length. Their secondary structure includes four short double-helical elements and three loops (D, anti-codon, and T loops). Lineage: Eukaryota; Viridiplantae; Chlorophyta; Trebouxiophyceae; Chlorellales; Chlorellaceae. The record is from Rfam by way of RNAcentral.
GGGGCUAUAGUUCAAUCGGUUUUAGAGCACCGCCCUGUCACGGCGGAAGUUGCGGGUUCGAGUCCCGUUAGCCCCG